ACACAACAUGGUGAGCGGUUUGUAGUUGGAUGAUUUAAGGCAAUCCGUCUUCAAAUAUGUGCCUGGUUUUUUGAGAAAGCGAACAUUAUUAAUGUUAAUGCAAUGGGUGCAUGGUUAAAACUCCUUUUGAUUCAGGCUUAUUUCCGCUAGGUGGCGGUAAUUCAUCUAAAAGUUGUUUGCCAGCCGCUUUGUAGAGAAAGGCGAAGAAAGCUCGAGCUGGUUUGAACCGAUUAGCCAUGUGGUUUAAAAUGAAAGAGGCACGCUGUACUGACAAAGCAGAUGCUACUGAUUACAAGAAACGUGCCUCGGGAUUAAGAAAAGUGUUACGUACCAUUCACGGCGGUUUGCGCUGAAUGGAGGAGGCGUCCCGUCGGUUUAAAUUGGAGUUCAAGGAAGCGAAAGGAAAAAUCCUGUGAAGAUUCAAAGGCUCGGCUCUGCAGAAUUGAACUGGAACGUCUUCGUCUCUAAAGGCAGAAGAUGGAAGAAGUAACUGUGGGAUGGGACGUUUUUAGCUCAACAAGUGUCCUUUUAUAACCUGGGUUAAAGAGUUUCAAUGCUGGUAAGCAUGAAGAGACUUUACUCCUGUUUUAAAAAGACAGAAUCAGAAGUUAAUAUUUUUAAAAUAGCUCAUACUAUUUAAAAUACCACAUCUUACAAGUUACGACAUUGGAAUUCUACUGAAUUAUUGGGAUGCUAUGGCAAAAAUAGCAUUUGAAAAGUAAGUUUUAUUACAUUUUGUUGCUCAGAUUUUAUUAAGAUGCUUUUUUUUUUGACUGAACAUAACAAUGUUGUUUUCUUUAAAUUUCUCAAAAAUUGAUGACUCUUUCAGCCAAACUCAAACCAAACCCUCAAUCAUGUCGGUAUCUUGUCGUAAGUAGUUUUUAGUAGUAGUAUUUUGAGUUGAAACUAUUGGACAAAGUAAUUAUUUCCCUUUUAAUAGUAUUGAUAAAGGAUGUUUUUUAUUGUUGUAACUCUAAAUCUUGUUGGAAAUUAACUUUUUCAGACUUCAUCAAUAUUUUCUUUCUUUUUGGUUUAGAGACUCCCUUUAUCUAAAAAUAAAUGAAAUAAGCUGUUACCGACUUGAUGUUCUCAACAUGCCUUUGUUUGUUUAAUUAUAACUGAAAUAAAACGAAAUAACUUCAUAAAUACAAA
Long non-coding RNA from Gambusia affinis (western mosquitofish), 1152 nucleotides. RefSeq lists it as uncharacterized. The record is from RefSeq and is a predicted model, not a curated record. NCBI's taxonomy places the organism in Eukaryota, Metazoa, Chordata, Actinopteri, Cyprinodontiformes, Poeciliidae. The transcript has 4 exons.